AAUGAACGCUGGCGGCGUGCCUAACACAUGCAAGUCGGAUGUGCCGCAAGGUGCAUGGCAGACGGGUGAGUAACGCGUAGGGAAUCUACCUUUUUGUGGGGAAUAACGCUCCGAAAGGAGUGGUAAUACCGCAUGAGACCGUGACCUGGGAUGGUUACGGUGAAACCUGGGGACCGCAAGGCCUGGGGCAAAAGAGGAUCCUGCGUCUGAUUAGCUAGUUGGCGGGGUAAUGGCCCACCAAGGCGACGAUCAGUAGCCGGCCUGGGAGGGUGAUCGGCCACACUGGAACUGAGACACGGUCCAGACUCCUACGGGAGGCAGCAGUGGGAAUUUUGCGCAAUGGACGAAAGUCUGACGCAGCAACGCCGCGUGGGUGAUGAAGGUCUUCGGACUGUAAAACCCUGUCGUCAGGGACGAAGGUGGCAGUGUUAAUAGCGCUGUUACUUGACGGUACCUGGAGAGGAAGCCCCGGGCUAACUCUGUGCCAGCAGCCGCGGUAAUCUGAGUCGGAG
Molecule: ribosomal RNA, 512 nt
Filed under: uncultured bacterium
Lineage: Bacteria
Description: bacterial SSU rRNA
Rfam family: Bacterial small subunit ribosomal RNA
Source: RNAcentral